Molecule: ribosomal RNA, 469 nt
Filed under: uncultured bacterium
Lineage: Bacteria
Description: partial 16S ribosomal RNA
Rfam family: Bacterial small subunit ribosomal RNA
Source: RNAcentral
GACGAACGCUGGCGGCGUGCUUAACACAUGCAAGUCGAACGGUGAACGAGGGAGCUUGCUCCCUCCGGAUCAGUGGCGAACGGGUGAGUAACACGUGAGCAAUCUGCCCCGAACUCUGGGAUAAGCGUUGGAAACGACGUCUAAUACCGGAUACGACGCGGGAGGGCAUCCUCUCCGCGUGGAAAGAACUUCGGUUCGGGAUGAGCUCGCGUCCUAUCAGCUUGUUGGUGAGGUAACGGCUCACCAAGGCGAGGACGGGUAGCCGGCCUGAGAGGGUGAGCGGCCACACUGGGACUGAGACACGGCCCAGACUCCUACGGGAGGCAGAAGUGGGGAAUAUUGCACAAUGGGCGCAAGCGUGAUGCAGCAACGCCGCGUGAGGGACGACGGCCUUCGGGUUGUAAACCUCUUUUAGCAGGGAAGAAGCGAAAGUGACGGUACCUGCAGAAAAAGCACCGGCUAACUACGU